AGUGGCGGACGGGUGAGUAACGCGUGAGAAUCUGCCUUCAGGAGGGGGACAACAGUUGGAAACGGCUGCUAAUACCCCGUAAGUCUACGGAUAAAACGGUUAAUUCCGCCUGAAGAUGAGCUCGCGUCGGAUUAGCUAGUUGGUGGGGUAAAGGCUUACCAAGGCGACGAUCCGUAGCUGGUCUGAGAGGAUGAUCAGCCACACUGGGACUGAGACACGGCCCAGACUCCUACGGGAGGCAGCAGUGGGGAAUUUUCCGCAAUGGGCGAAAGCCUGACGGAGCAACGCCGCGUGCGGGAGGACGGCCUGUGGGUUGUAAACCGCUUUUCUCAGGGAAGAAGAUCUGACGGUACCUGAGGAAUCAGCAUCGGCUAACUCCGUGCCAGCAGCCGCGGUAAUACGGAGGAUGCAAGCGUUAUCCGGAUUUAUUGGGCGUAAAGCGUCCGCAGGCGGCUAAUCAAGUCUGCUGUUAAAGGCCGAGGCUUAACUUCGGUUGAGCAGUGGAAACUGAUUAGCUAGAGUGCGAUAGGGGUAGAGGGAAUUCCCAGUGUAGCGGUGAAAUGCGUAGAUAUUGGGAAGAACACCAGUGGCGAAGGCGCUCUACUGGGUCGCAACUGACGCUGAGGGACGAAAGCUAGGGGAGCGAAAGGGAUUAGAUACCCC
Molecule: ribosomal RNA, 663 nt
Filed under: uncultured bacterium
Lineage: Bacteria
Description: bacterial SSU rRNA
Rfam family: Bacterial small subunit ribosomal RNA
Source: RNAcentral